UUACGUUGUGUAAAGCUUAAACUACCUUCUCUGGUUCCUUUACAGCUUCUUCGGUUUCUUUGUCAUCUGCCUUUGCUGCAACAUCUGCUUCCUGGCUCUUGUCCGUAUCCUCCGAGAUUGCAGGUUCAGAGCUUUGAGCAUUCUCAUCCGAUUCAGCACCUGGAUUUGAUGCAUCAUCACUCGAAUCUUUCAACUUCUCGGUUAUUUCAGCCUCACUUGCGUCUCGUGAGCUCUCAGUGGUUGCAACAUCACCUGCGUCUGAUAACUUCUCUAUGGUUUCAUCGCCACAUGCACCUGGUGAUGAAUACAUGGUAAAUUUGCUGACUCUAUUGAUAUGCUUCAUCUGGAGCAACCUUGUUUUAUGUUUCUAACAAAUAAGUAAGGUUUACGAAACUAUGAUCUGUUUUAUGAAUCUAGCUAAGAAUCAAGCAGUUAUUUAGAACACAUAUGAUGGUUUACUACUAUGGGUUGUAUUCUUGUUGUUGAUAAGCCUGAGACUGGAGAGUGGUUUAACAUUAUUUCCUGACUCUGCCUAAUGGCGUUUCUGUUCUAGUUUGUAUCUUCGAACUAAAGUCUAAUAAAAUCCUUUUUGCUUGAACAUUAGGAAAAGUGAAAUCCCCAAAGCUUGAUGACGGUGGAAGCGGGUUCCCACCUCGGCAUGAUGGUGGUGGUGGUGGGGGCGGAGGUGGUGGAGAGAGCUUCUCAGGUGGAUUCUUCCUUUUCGGGUUUCUUAUGCUCAUGGGAUACUUGAAAGAUUUGGAGGGCGAACAUGACAACAGCCACUAAAGUGAGAGGGGAUUAAACAUGAUGCACGACAAGACAAAUCUCAUGGCGAAGUUAGAGAAAUAGAACCAGCAGAGACAAUAGAGUUUACUAGUGCUGCUAGCAAUAGACACCACAUCUUUUAUCAGUAUUGUUAUGAAACAGAUAGAGUUUUGUUUUCUUUAUCAGUCGCACAUGAAAUGACUUGAAUAUAUAUAAAAGUUGAAGAGUGAUUAGAGCAUCUUCAAAAACAAACUCAUAACUAAAUAUAACAUCUUGUGUAUUAUGGAAACAACCUUAAAUGUGCCGGCUCAAGAGCAACUGUUUUACAACAUUUUAUGUGAUGAGUGUAGAUGAGAUAUAAGAACUUCAACUAAAAAAAUGAUAAGCUAGUGAUAAAUUUUGGUCGACAAUAUGUCCGAAAGGAAAAGAAAGAAUAAUAAAAAUCGUAGCAAACUAUAUAAACCAAAGAAAGUAUCAGCAUGAAUUUGUAUUACUAGUUACGUUGUGUAAAGCUUAAACUACCUUCUCUGGUUCCUUUACAGCUUCUUCGGUUUCUUUGUCAUCUGCCUUUGCUGCAACAUCUGCUUCCUGGCUCUUGUCCGUAUCCUCCGAGAUUGCAGGUUCAGAGCUUUGAGCAUUCUCAUCCGAUUCAGCACCUGGAUUUGAUGCAUCAUCACUCGAAUCUUUCAACUUCUCGGUUAUUUCAGCCUCACUUGCGUCUCGUGAGCUCUCAGUGGUUGCAACA
This 1510-nucleotide long non-coding RNA is filed under the name Brassica napus (rape). Its description in RNAcentral is "long non-coding RNA (BNAP_LNC007091)". The record is from RNAcentral. Lineage: Eukaryota; Viridiplantae; Streptophyta; Magnoliopsida; Brassicales; Brassicaceae.